AGAGUUUGAUCCUGGCUCAGGACGAACGCUGGCGGCGCGCCUAACACAUGCAAGUCGAACGGAGCUAUUUUGGAAGAACCCUUCGGGGUGAUUCUGGCUUAGCUUAGUGGCGGACGGGUGAGUAACACGUGAGCAACCUGCCUCUCAGAGGGGGAUAACGUUUGGAAACGAACGCUAAUACCGCAUAACAUAUCGAGGCCGCAUGGCUUUGGUAUCAAAGGAGCAAUCCGCUGAGAGAUGGGCUCGCGUCCGAUUAGAUAGUUGGCGGGAUAACAGCCCACCAAGUCGACGAUCGGUAGCCGGACUGAGAGGUUGAUCGGCCACAUUGGGACUGAGACACGGCCCAGACUCCUACGGGAGGCAGCAGUGGGGGAUAUUGCACAAUGGGCGAAAGCCUGAUGCAGCGACGCCGCGUGAGGGAAGACGGUCUUCGGAUUGUAAACCUCUGUCUUCAGGGACGAAAGGAAUGACGGUACCUGAGGAGGAAGCCACGGCUAACUACGUGCCAGCAGCCGCGGUAAUACGUAGGUGGCAAGCGUUGUCCGGAAUUACUGGGUGUAAAGGGAGCGUAGGCGGGGAUGCAAGUUGAAUGUUUAAACUAUCGGCUCAACUGAUAGUCGCGUUCAAAACUGCAACUCUUGAGUGAAGUAGAGGUAGGCGGAAUUCCUAGUGUAGCGGUGAAAUGCGUAGAUAUUAGGAGGAACACCAGUGGCGAAGGCGGCCUACUGGGCUUUUACUGACGCUGAGGCUCGAAAGCAUGGGGAGCAAACAGGAUUAGAUACCCUGGUAGUCCAUGCCGUAAACGAUGAUUACUAGGUGUGGGGGGACUGACCCCUUCCGUGCCGGAGUUAACACAAUAAGUAAUCCACCUGGGAAGUACGACCGCAAGGUUGAAACUCAAAGGAAUUGACGGGGGCCCGCACAAGCAGUGGAGUAUGUGGUUUAAUUCGAAGCAACGCGAAGAACCUUACCAGGUCUUGACAUCCAGAGAAUCCACUAGAGAUAGAGGAGUGCCUUCGGGAACUCUGAGACAGGCGGUGCAUGGUUGUCGUCAGCUCGUGUCGUGAGAUGUUGGGUUAAGUCCCGCAACGAGCGCAACCCUUACGAUUAGUUGCUACGCAAGAGCACUCUAAUAGGACUGCCGUUGACAAAACGGAGGAAGGUGGGGAUGACGUCAAAUCAUCAUGCCCCUUAUGACCUGGGCCACACACGUACUACAAUGGUGAUUAACAGAGGGAAGCAAAACCGCGAGGUAGAGCAAAUCCCUAAAAAUCAUCCCAGUUCGGAUUGUAGGCUGCAACCCGCCUGCAUGAAGCCGGAAUUGCUAGUAAUCGCGGAUCAGCAUGCCGCGGUGAAUACGUUCCCGGGCCUUGUACACACCGCCCGUCACACCAUGAGAGUCGGUAACACCCGAAGUCAGUAGCCUAACCGCAAGGGGGGCGCUGCCGAAGGUGGGAUUGAUAAUUGGGGUGAAGUCGUAACAAGGUA
Molecule: ribosomal RNA, 1488 nt
Filed under: metagenome
Description: bacterial SSU rRNA
Rfam family: Bacterial small subunit ribosomal RNA
Source: RNAcentral